RNAcentral lists this ribosomal RNA (773 nucleotides) under uncultured Neocallimastigales. Its description in RNAcentral is "partial large subunit ribosomal RNA". It matches the Rfam family "Eukaryotic large subunit ribosomal RNA", at positions 24 to 644 of the family's 3401-position model. Lineage: Eukaryota; Fungi; Neocallimastigomycota; Neocallimastigomycetes; Neocallimastigales. The record is from RNAcentral.
AUGUGAUCGUCUCUCGCAUAUCAAUAAGCGGAGGAAAAGAAACUAACAAGGAUUCCCCUAGUAACGGCGAGUGAAGCGGGAAGAGCUCAAAUUUGAAAUCUUAAAGGGUUUCCCUUUACGAAUUGUAGUUUAAAGAAGUGUUUUCUGUUGAGGUUUUGGUAAAAGUUCUUUGGAAUAGGACAUCAUAGAGGGUGAGAAUCCCGUAUUUGACCUUUACUUUCAACUUUGUGAUACACUUUCAAAGAGUCGGAUUGUUUGGGAAUGCAGUCCAAAAUGGGUGGUAAAUUUCAUCUAAAGCUAAAUAUUGGCGAGAGACCGAUAGCGAACAAGUACCGUGAGGGAAAGAUGAAAAGAACUUUGAAAAGAGAGUUAAACAGUACGUGAAAUUGUCAAAAGGGAAGCGUUUGACACCAGUGUUGUUUUUCUGAAAAUCAAUUAAAGAACUGUUUAUGCUAAGUUGUUUAGACUUUAUCAGCUAACUGUUUAGUUUUGAGCUUUUCUUUAAUGCACUUUUCAGUUAACAAGUCAACAUCAAUUUCUUUUGCUGUAAAAAAGCUUGAGGAAGGUGGCUUGAGAUUCGUCUUAAGUGUUUAUAGCCUCUUGCCUAUGCAGUCGGAGAGAUUGAGGUCUGCAGCGUAGAUCCUUCGGGGCUAAAUGCAUUUGUGCUAAGUUAUAGCAUUUUAUAGACAACUUGUUGACUAUGAUUUGUCUUGUAGCUUACUCGCUUAUGUUAUUUUACCUACGCUUAGGAUGUUGACUGAUAUGUAGUCGUA